UAUUGGUGAAAGUGUUGCAGAAAUCAAGC
RNAcentral lists this non-coding RNA (29 nucleotides) under Rattus norvegicus (Norway rat). The record is from RNAcentral. Lineage: Eukaryota; Metazoa; Chordata; Mammalia; Rodentia; Muridae.